CUUAAUUUAAGGGAAGUUGGUGUUUUUUAAUUGUCUAUAUAAAUGAAUGAAAAUACAGAGACUUUCAUCUAUUCUUCCUGAAAUUUUCUGCUCUGUUUUUAUUUUUCAGUCCAGUAGUCUAACUAUGACAUUGCAACCAUGAAAACUUGCUACACCUUUUGAUUUUGAUUUGCUUAUGCAUUUUGUCCCAGUGUUCAAGGGGUAGCAAGUCAACAUCGCCUGGGACAGCUUCAAAUCCGUUGCCAUCUCCAACUCAACUAUAUCAGAUGUUUCCAUCUGGCAUUAACCA
This 289-nucleotide unclassified non-coding RNA is filed under the name Hevea brasiliensis (rubber tree). The record is from RNAcentral. Lineage: Eukaryota; Viridiplantae; Streptophyta; Magnoliopsida; Malpighiales; Euphorbiaceae.